Molecule: ribosomal RNA, 484 nt
Filed under: uncultured bacterium
Lineage: Bacteria
Description: partial 16S ribosomal RNA
Rfam family: Bacterial small subunit ribosomal RNA
Source: RNAcentral
AUUGAACGCUGGCGGCAGGCCUAACACAUGCAAGUCGAGCGGAUGAAGGGAGCUUGCUCCUGGAUUCAGCGGCGGACGGGUGAGUAAUGCCUAGGAAUCUGCCUGGUAGUGGGGGAUAACGUCCGGAAACGGGCGCUAAUACCGCAUACGUCCUGAGGGAGAAAGUGGGGGAUCUUCGGACCUCACGCUAUCAGAUGAGCCUAGGUCGGAUUAGCUAGUUGGUGGGGUAAAGGCCUACCAAGGCGACGAUCCGUAACUGGUCUGAGAGGAUGAUCAGUCACACUGGAACUGAGACACGGUCCAGACUCCUACGGGAGGCAGCAGUGGGGAAUAUUGGACAAAGGGCGAAAGCCUGAUCCAGCCAUGCCGCGUGUGUGAAGAAGGUCUUCGGAUUGUAAAGCACUUUAAGUUGGGAGGAAGGGCAGUAAGUUAAUACCUUGCUGUUUUGACGUUACCAACGGAAUAAGCACCGGCUAACUUCGUG